RNAcentral lists this long non-coding RNA (843 nucleotides) under Bos indicus x Bos taurus (hybrid cattle). Its description in RNAcentral is "lncRNA (ENSBIXG00000008224.1)". Lineage: Eukaryota; Metazoa; Chordata; Mammalia; Artiodactyla; Bovidae. The record is from RNAcentral.
AUGGCCACUAGCCGCCGUCCCGGCCUCGGCCGGAAGGAGGGGCCGAGCGCCCUCGGUGGGCGGUGGACCCGGGCGUUGAGCGUUCCGCGCCCAGCGCUGUCAGACUACCCCCGCCGCCGAUGGUGGCCGACCAGCCGGGAGCUGCCGAGAAGGGCGAGUUGGCUCCCGGACACGUAUGAGGUUCCAUCAGGAGGCCCAUUCAGAACAAAUAAACAGGAAUUCAAGCCAGAGCCUCUGACACCAAUAUUAGCCCUUUUCGAGCAAAUCUUCACUCCUACCCCUCCCGGCAAAGAGAAAAGCCAGUGCAAAGGCAUCCUUCCUGGUGUUGCUCGCGUGGCUCAGCCAAGAUCGAUACAAGAGCUAACUCCUUCCGGCAUGAUGGACACCUGGGAUCCCAAAACAGCUGGGCUGGAAGGGCCCUCGAGAAAGGAACUGCCAACACGUGCCCUGUGUCAGGCCCUGAAGGUGGGCAUUUUCGUGAACAUUGUCAUAACACUCUGCUUCGAGAGCCUUCCCCUGAAAGAUGAAGUCCUCGCCACACGGGGAGGCAGACAUUAUAGAUUCCUGGAUCUCUCGGACGUCUUUUCUCCCUCACCCUCAUUGAUCCCCACUUGCGACAGAAAUUCUUCCCCUCCACUAGCGAGUGAAGGCACGAGACUACAUUUCCCUGGAGGUCGUCAGAAGCGGGUGGCGAGGAGAGAAGGAAACAGACUCUCCGUUUCUGUCUGCUCUCAAUUUGGACUGUUGGCGGUGAUGCACAUUUCAACAGCCCAUGUCCUUUCUCUGUUGAGCAAAGGAAGGGACUACGUCGCCCAGCAGGCACUGGCGCGGAGGAUGUGCUAG